This 694-nucleotide ribosomal RNA is filed under the name uncultured bacterium. RNAcentral describes it as "bacterial SSU rRNA". It matches the Rfam family "Bacterial small subunit ribosomal RNA", at positions 33 to 773 of the family's 1533-position model. The record is from RNAcentral.
ACGCUGGCGGCAUGCCUAACACAUGCAAGUCGAACGAAGGCUUCGGCCUUAGUGGCGCACGGGUGCGUAACGCGUGGGAAUCUGCCCCUUGGUUCGGAAUAACAGUUGGAAACGACUGCUAAUACCGGAUGAUGACGUAAGUCCAAAGAUUUAUCGCCGAGGGAUGAGCCCGCGUAGGAUUAGGUAGUUGGUGUGGUAAAGGCGCACCAAGCCGACGAUCCUUAGCUGGUCUGAGAGGAUGAUCAGCCACACUGGGACUGAGACACGGCCCAGACUCCUACGGGAGGCAGCAGUGGGGAAUAUUGGACAAUGGGCGAAAGCCUGAUCCAGCAAUGCCGCGUGAGUGAUGAAGGCCUUAGGGUUGUAAAGCUCUUUUACCCGGGAUGAUAAUGACAGUACCGGGAGAAUAAGCUCCGGCUAACUCCGUGCCAGCAGCCGCGGUAAUACGGAGGGAGCUAGCGUUAUUCGGAAUUACUGGGCGUAAAGCGCACGUAGGCGGCUUUGUAAGUAAGAGGUGAAAGCCCAGAGCUCAACUCUGGAAUUGCCUUUUAGACUGCAUCGCUUGAAUCAUGGAGAGGUCAGUGGAAUUCCGAGUGUAGAGGUGAAAUUCGUAGAUAUUCGGAAGAACACCAGUGGCGAAGGCGGCUGACUGGACAUGUAUUGACGCUGAGGUGCGAAAGCGUGGGGAGCAAAC